This 483-nucleotide ribosomal RNA is filed under the name uncultured bacterium. Its description in RNAcentral is "bacterial SSU rRNA". It matches the Rfam family "Bacterial small subunit ribosomal RNA", at positions 20 to 518 of the family's 1533-position model. The record is from RNAcentral.
UGGCUCAGGACGAACGCUGGCGGCAUGCCUAACACAUGCAAGUCGAACGGAGUUUAAGAAGCUUGCUUUUAAACUAGUGGCGGACGGGUGAGUAACGCGUGAGCAACCUGCCUCUCAGUGGGGAAUAAUGUACUGAAAAGGACACUAAUACCGCAUAAUGUACCGGAGUCGCAUGGCACUGGUACCAAAGAUUUAUCGCUGAGAGAUGGGCUCGCGUCCGAUUAGCUGGUUGGUGAGGUAACGGCUCACCAAGGCGACGAUCGGUAGCCGGACUGAGAGGUUGAACGGCCACAUUGGGACUGAGACACGGCCCAGACUCCUACGGGAGGCAGCAGUGGGGGAUAUUGCGCAAUGGGGGAAACCCUGACGCAAGCAAUGCCGCGUGAAGGAUUGAAGGUCUUCGGAUUGUAAACUUCUUUUGUCAGGGACGAUAAUGACGGUACCUGACGAAUAAGCUCCGGCUAACUACGUGCCAGCAGCCGC